GUGAGUCGGCCCCUAAGGCGAGGCAGAGAUGCGUAGCUGAUGGGAAACAGGUCAAUAUUCCUGUACCGAUGUGUAGUGCGAUGUGGGGACGGAGAAGGUUAGCUCAGCCGGGUGUUGGAUGUCCCGGUUCAAGCCUGUAGUCGUGCCUGGUAGGCAAAUCCGCCGGGCUUAGAUGAGGGGUGAUAACGAGGCGGCUUGCCGCCGAAGUGAGUGAUACCCUGCUUCCAGGAAAAGCCACUAAGCUUCAGCUACACACGACCGUACCGCAAACCGACACUGGUGCGCGAGAUGAGUAUUCUAAGGCGCUUGAGAGAACUCUGGAGAAGGAACUCGGCAAAUUGACACCGUAACUUCGGAAGAAGGUGUGCCUUUAGUAGGUGAACCAGUACAUGGGGAGCCCAAUGAGGCCGCAGAGAAUCGGUGGCUGCAACUGUUUAAUAAAAACACAGCACUCUGCAAAGACGAAAGUCGACGUAUAGGGUGUGACGCCUGCCCGGUGCUGGAAGAUUAAAUGAUGGGGUGCAAGCUCUUGAUUGAAGUCCCAGUAAACGGCGGCCGUAACUAUAACGGUCCUAAGGUAGCGAAAUUCCUUGUCGGGUAAGUUCCGACCUGCACGAAUGGCGUAAUGAUGGCCACACUGUCUCCUCCAGAGACUCAGCGAAGUUGAAAUGUUUGUGAUGAUGCAAUCUCCCCGCGGAAAGACGGAAAGACCCCAUGAACCUUUACUGUAGCUUUACAUUGGACUUUGAACAGAUCUGUGUAGGAUAGGUGGGAGGCUUUGAAGCGGUGCCGCUAGGUGUCGUGGAGCCAACCUUGAAAUACCACCCUGGUGUGUUUGAGGUUCUAACCUUGGCCCGUGAUCCGGGUUGGGGACAGUGUAUGGUGGGCAGUUUGACUGGGGCGGUCUCCUCCCAAAGUGUAACGGAGGAGUUCGAAGGUACGCUAAAUACGGUCGGAAAUCGUGUUGAUAGUGCAUUGGCAUAAGCGUGCUUGACUGCGAGACUGACAAGUCGAGCAGGUACGAAAGUAGGACAAAGUGAUCCGGUGGUUCUGUAUGGAAGGGCCAUCGCUCAACGGAUAAAAGGUACUCUGGGGAUAACAGGCUGAUACCGCCCAAGAGUUCAUAUCGACGGCGGUGUUUGGCACCUCGAUGUCGGCUCAUCUCAUCCUGGGGCUGUAGCCGGUCCCAAGGGUAUGGCUGUUCGCCAUUUAAAGAGGUACGUGAGCUGGGUUUAAAACGUCGUGAGACAGUUUGGUCCCUAUCUUCCGUGGGCGCUGCAAGAUUGAGAGAGCCUGCUCCUAGUACGAGAGGACCGGAGUGGACGCACCGCUGGUGUAUCGGUUGUCAUGCCAAUGGCAUUGCCGAGUAGCUAAGUGCGGAAGAGAUAACCGCUGAAAGCAUCUAAGCGGGAAACUCGUCUCAAGAUGAGUCUUGCCGGGGCCUUGAGCCCCCUGAAGAGUCGUUCGAGACCAGGACGUUGAUAGGCUGGGUGUGGAAGCGCAGUAAUGCGUUAAGCUAACCAGUACUAAUUGCUCGUGAGGCUUGACCCU
RNAcentral lists this ribosomal RNA (1551 nucleotides) under Candidatus Cloacimonetes bacterium ADurb.Bin088. Its description in RNAcentral is "bacterial LSU rRNA". It matches the Rfam family "Bacterial large subunit ribosomal RNA", at positions 1379 to 2925 of the family's 2925-position model. The record is from RNAcentral. Lineage: Bacteria; Pseudomonadati; Candidatus Cloacimonadota.